Molecule: ribosomal RNA, 412 nt
Filed under: Lysmata sp. 1 LQZ-2020
Lineage: Eukaryota; Metazoa; Arthropoda; Malacostraca; Decapoda; Hippolytidae
Description: partial small subunit ribosomal RNA
Source: RNAcentral
UGGAAACCAGGGGAUAGAUACCCUAGUAUUCAUUACUGAAAAGCUGAAGCUAAAGUAGUAACAGUUGUGCUCUUGAAAUUUAAAGGAUUUGGCGGUUUUCUAGUCAAGUUAGAGGAACCUGUCCUAUAAUCGAUAAUACACGAAUUAUCUUACCUCAUCUAGUAUGUUAAGACAACAACAGUUUGUAUACCGCCAUCUUAAAAUAGCUUUAAUAAAAGUCGUUGAAAUAGGUUUUCCUAGGAAGUUAGGUCAUGGUGCAGCUUAUGGUGCAGGUUGAGAUGGGUUACAAUUUUUGUAAAAAAAAACGGAUAAAGAAAAGAAUUUUUUUUUGAAGGCGGAUUUAACAGUAAUAUAUGUUUAAUAAGCAUAUAUGAUGUAUGCUCUAGAAAAUGUACAUAUCCCCCGUCGCAUA